GGGCCCGCACAAGCGGUGGAGCAUGUGGUUUAAUUCGAUGAUACGCGAGGAACCUUACCAGGGCUUAAAUGUAAGUUGCAUAAGUUAGAGAUAGCUUUUUCUUCGGACUACUUACAAGGUGCUGCAUGGUUGUCGUCAGCUCGUGCCGUGAGGUGUCAGGUUAAGUCCUAUAACGAGCGCAACCCCUGUUGUUAGUUGCCAUCGAGUAAUGUCGGGAACUCUAACAAGACUGCCGGUGCAAACCGUGAGGAAGGUGGGGAUGACGUCAAAUCAUCACGGCCCUUACGUCCUGGGCUACACACGUGCUACAAUGGCCGGUACAGAGAGCAGCCACUACGCGAGUAGGAGCGAAUCUCUUAAAGCGUCUCUCAGUCCGGAUUGGAGUCUGCAACUCGACUCCAUGAAGUCGGAAUCGCUAGUAAUCG
This 425-nucleotide ribosomal RNA is filed under the name uncultured bacterium. Its description in RNAcentral is "bacterial SSU rRNA". It matches the Rfam family "Bacterial small subunit ribosomal RNA", at positions 917 to 1344 of the family's 1533-position model. The record is from RNAcentral.